GAGGCGAACCGGGGGAACUGAAACAUCUAAGUACCCCGAGGAAAAGAAAUCAACCGAGAUUCCGAAAGUAGCGGCGAGCGAAAUUGGACUAGCCCUUAAGCUUUACACGCGUUAGACGAACGGUCUGGAAAGUCCGACGAUACAGGGUGAUAGUCCCGUAGUUGACGACGUGUGUUCAGUGAAAUCGAGUAGGGCGGGACACGUGAUAUCCUGUCUGAAUAUGGGGGGACCAUCCUCCAAGGCUAAAUACUACUGACUGACCGAUAGUGAACCAGUACCGUGAGGGAAAGGCGAAAAGAACCCCUGUGAGGGGAGUGAAAUAGAACCUGAAACCGUGUACGUACAAGCAGUAGGAGCAGGCUUGUCCUGUGACUGCGUACCUUUUGUAUAAUGGGUCAGCGACUUAUAUUCAGUGGCAAGGUUAACCAUCUAGGGGAGCCGUAGGGAAACCGAGUCUUAACUGGGCGUUCAGUCUCUGGAUAUAGACCCGAAACCAGGUGAUCUAGCCAUGGGCAGGUUGAAGGUUGAGUAACAUCAACUGGAGGACCGAACCGACUAAUGUUGAAAAAUUAGCGGAUGACUUGUGGCUAGGGGUGAAAGGCCAAUCAAACCUGGAGAUAGCUGGUUCUCCCCGAAAGCUAUUUAGGUAGCGCCUCGGACGAAUACUACUGGGGGUAGAGCACUGUUAAGGCUAGGGGGUCAUCCCGACUUACCAACCCUUUGCAAACUCCGAAUACCAGUAAGUACUAUCCGGGAGACACACGGCGGGUGCUAACGUCCGUCGUGGAGAGGGAAACAACCCAGACCGCCAGCUAAGGUCCCAAAUUACUACUAAGUGGGAAACGAUGUGGGAAGGCUCAGACAGCCAGGAUGUUGGCUUAGAAGCAGCCAUCAUUUAAAGAAAGCGUAAUAGCUCACUGGUCGAGUCGGCCUGCGCGGAAGAUGUAACGGGGCUAAGUAGUAAACCGAAGCUGCGGCAAUAUACUUUUGUAUAUUGGGUAGGGGAGCGUUCUGUAAGCGGUUGAAGGUGUGUGGUAACGCAUGCUGGACGUAUCAGAAGUGCGAAUGCUGACAUGAGUAACGAUAAAGGGGGUGAAAAACCUCCUCGCCGGAAGACCAAGGGUUCCUGUCCAACGUUAAUCGGGGCAGGGUAAGUCGACCCCUAAGGCGAGGCCGAAAGGCGUAGUCGAUGGGAAACGGGUUAAUAUUCCCGUACUUCUUACAAUUGCGAUGGGGGGACGGAGAAGGCUAGGUGGGCCUGGCGACGGUUGUCCAGGUUCAAGUGCGUAGGCUUAAGAGUUAGGUAAAUCCGGCUCUUUCNNNNNNNNNNNNNNNNNNNNNNNNNNNNNNNNNNNNNNNNNNNNNNNNNNNNNNNNNNNNNNNNNNNNNNNNNNNNNNNNNNNNNNNNNNNNNNNNNUCUAAGGCUGAGACACGACGUCGAGCACCUACGGGUGUGAAGUCAUUGAUGCCAUGCUUCCAGGAAAAGCCUCUAAGCUUCAGAUUGUAAGGAAUCGUACCCCAAACCGACACAGGUGGUCGGGUAGAGAAUACCAAGGCGCUUGAGAGAACUCGGGUGAAGGAACUAGGCAAAAUGGUACCGUAACUUCGGGAGAAGGUACGCUCUUGAUGGUGAAGUCCCUCGCGGAUGGAGCUGACGAGAGUCGCAGAUACCAGGUGGCUGCAACUGUUUAUUAAAAACACAGCACUGUGCAAAAUCGUAAGAUGACGUAUACGGUGUGACGCCUGCCCGGUGCCGGAAGGUUAAUUGAUGGGGUUAGACUUCGGUCGAAGCUCUUGAUCGAAGCCCCGGUAAACGGCGGCCGUAACUAUAACGGUCCUAAGGUAGCGAAAUUCCUUGUCGGGUAAGUUCCGACCUGCACGAAUGGCGUAAUGAUGGCCACGCUGUCUCCACCCGAGACUCAGUGAAAUUGAAAUCGCUGUGAAGAUGCAGUGUACCCGCGGCUAGACGGAAAGACCCCGUGAACCUUUACUACAGCUUGGCACUGAACAUUGACCCUACAUGUGUAGGAUAGGUGGGAGGCUUUGAAGCACGUACGCCAGUAUGUGUGGAGCCGUCCUUGAAAUACCACCCUUGUAGUGUUGAUGUUCUAACGUCGACCCCUAAUCGGGGUUGCGGACAGUGCCUGGUGGGUAGUUUGACUGGGGCGGUCUCCUCCCAAAGAGUAACGGAGGAGCACGAAGGUGGGCUAAUCACGGUUGGACAUCGUGAGGUUAGUGCAAUGGCAUAAGCCCGCUUGACUGCGAGAAUGACAAUUCGAGCAGGUGCGAAAGCAGGUCAUAGUGAUCCGGUGGUUCUGAAUGGAAGGGCCAUCGCUCAACGGAUAAAAGGUACUCCGGGGAUAACAGGCUGAUACCGCCCAAGAGUUCAUAUCGACGGCGGUGUUUGGCACCUCGAUGUCGGCUCAUCACAUCCUGGGGCUGAAGUCGGUCCCAAGGGUAUGGCUGUUCGCCAUUUAAAGUGGUACGCGAGCUGGGUUUAGAACGUCGUGAGACAGUUCGGUCCCUAUCUGCCGUGGGCGUUGGAAGAUUGAAGGGGGCUGCUCCUAGUACGAGAGGACCGGAGUGGACGAACCUCUGGUGUUCGGGUUGUGUCGCCAGACGCAUUGCCCGGUAGCUAAGUUCGGAAUCGAUAACCGCUGAAAGCAUCUAAGCGGGAAGCGAGCCCUGAGAUGAGUCUUCCCUGAUACUUUAAGUAUCCUAAAGGGUUGUCGGAGACUACGACGUUGAUAGGUCAGGUGUGUAAGUGCUGUGAGGCAUUGAGCUAACUGAUACUAAUUGCCCGUGAGGCUUAACCAUACAACACCCAAGGGGUUU
This 2835-nucleotide ribosomal RNA is filed under the name Vibrio parahaemolyticus. Its description in RNAcentral is "partial 23S ribosomal RNA". It matches the Rfam family "Bacterial large subunit ribosomal RNA". The record is from RNAcentral. Lineage: Bacteria; Pseudomonadati; Pseudomonadota; Gammaproteobacteria; Vibrionales; Vibrionaceae.